ACUUUGUGGUACUGUAAUUUUAAUUCUGGUCAAUAAAUAGUACUACUAAUUAGUGUUUAUGGUUACAAAUUCAGAAUUCAUGUUUGGCCUUUUAUGAUCGAACUAGACGGACUGUUUGGUCUUCAAAUGAGAAGUUUUAUUUUGUGUCUCAUACAACUUACGCAUGAGGUUCUUUUUUAUUUCACAAAAUUAUGGAUCAUAAUCGUACACUUCUGAAUUCAUAGAAUUUGGGAUGCACAAAACUAUGAGAUAAAAAAUUGUCUUAUAUAACUAAUAUAAGUUGUAUGAGACACAACAUAAAAUUUUCCGUCUUCAAAUCAAAAUACCAAAAUAAGGACUAUAUGAGAGUACAUAUGAUGUCUUCCAAGUUAUAAAAAUUGUAGGAACAUUAAAAAAAAUCUAGUGAAGAUAUUGUCACGAUCCAAGCUUUCCCUUCGUAAACUGUCGUAACGACAUCCACUCUUUACCAUUAGGUAAGCCUAACAAUCACGGAAAAAAAUAAAAUGCGAAAAAACUAAUAAAAAUUGAAGAUAAACAAUAUAAAGGCGUCUCGACAUAUACUAAUACAAGAUCUUGAAAACUAAAUAACUUUCCAAAUUCAUAAUAUCAUGAAAUCACAAGCUAAUGAUACUACAUAGUGCUCUAACUCUAGAAUGUCUAAAACAAAGCAAAUAAAUAAGGGAUGUAACUACAAUAGAGAAUGGAGAUAGACUCCUCCCUCUGCGGAUGUAUACUGGUUCACCACACCUUGUGGUUAGUCCAGUCCCCGAAAGACUCUCUCGAGAUUUCCACUAACUUUGUCAAGCUUACGGGUGCUCAACAAACCGUUACAACCUGAGAGCUUGAGUCACACAAGCCUCAGCAAACCGUUAAGUUUACGGGUACCUAACAAACCGUAACUAGACGGACUGUUUGGUCUUCAAAUGAGAAGUUUUAUUUUGUGUCUCAUACAACUUACGCAUGAGGUUCUUUUUUAUUUCACAAAAUUAUGGAUCACAAUCGUACACUUCUGAAUUCAUAGAAUUUGGGAUGCACAAAACUAUGAGAUAAAAAGUUGUCUUAUACAACUAAUAUAAGUUGUAUGAGACACAACAUAAAAUUUUCCGUCUUCAAAUCAAAAUACCAAAAUAAGGACUAUAUGAGAGUACAUAUGAUGUCUUCCAAGUUAUAAAAAUUGUAGGAACAUUAAAAAAAAUCUAGUGAAGAUAUUGUCACGAUCCAAGCUUUCCCUUCGUAAACUGUCGUAACGACAUCCACUCUUUACCAUUAGGUAAGCCUAACAAUCACGGAAAAAAAUAAAAUGCGAAAAAACUAAUAAAAAUUGAAGAUAAACAAUAUAAAGGCGUCUCGACAUAUACUAAUACAAGAUCUUGAAAACUAAAUAACUUUCCAAAUUCAUAAUAUCAUGAAAUCACAAGCUAAUGAUACUACAUAGUGCUCUAACUCUAGAAUGUCUAAAACAAAGCAAAUAAAUAAGGGAUGUAACUACAAGAGAGAAUGGAGAUAGACUCCUCCCUCUGCGGAUGUAUACUGGUUCACCACACCUUGUGGUUAGUCCAGUCCCCGAAAGACUCUCUCGAGAUUUCCACUAACUUUGUCAAGCUUACGGGUGCUCAACAAACCGUUACAACCUGAGAGCUUGAGUCACACAAGCCUCAGCAAACCGUUAAGUUUACGGGUACCUAAGAAACCGGUACACUUUGAGAACUUAAAUCCCACAAGUCUCAAACAACCUUGCUCGAGGAUACCUCACCCCAAGACUUCACUGUUAAGCUUACGGGUGCCUAACGAACCGUUUAACUUUAAGAGAAAAUCGAUUGUUUGAAAUUUGAUUAGAAAUCUGAAAGUCAACAAUCGAUUGUUGUAUGACCACAAUCGAUUGUGGUUCAUAUUUUCAAAGUAUUUCUGUCAAGCAUUUGAAUUUAACAGAUUUGUGUAAUCAAAAUUUCAACAACUAAAUCCCUGAUUAAAAGGAGUGAUUGACUGAAGAAAAUUUGGUUUAGAAUUUUGAAAUUAACGGAUUUGUAAAUAAUUUUCAACCACCAAAUCUUGACUUUAAGAACAGAAAUAAUUGUGAAAGAUUUUGGGAUUUUGUAACUUCAACAAUCGAUUGUUGCAUGAUGACAAUCGAUUGUCAUUUAAAUUUUCAAAGCAUUUUUAGCAACGGUAAGAAUACAAUCGAUUGUUAGACUAUGACAAUCGAUUGUUAUGUUUUUAUAAAAACUUUGAUAACACAAUACCUCAGGACAAUCGAUUGUUUUGCUUCUUUGAAAAAUUCAUUUAAGCACUGUCUCAUGACAAUCGAUUGUUUACCUCAGACAAUCAAUUGUUGGCCAAUUUGAAAUCAUAUAAUCGAUUGUUUUAUAAAUAUUGAAAGUUCCAGUUUAGGCAGUCUUUAUGACAAUCGAUUGUUGUAGUCCAAAAUUAAAAGACAUGUUUGAAAAACAUUUUGGCUAAAAUGCAACUCAUUUGUUUUAACUUAAAGAUGCAUGAUUUGAUGAAAAAUGAUUUUAUGAGAGAGCCAAUACUAGAAUAUGUCGUUGACAACUCAUUUGUUUUAACUUAAAGAUGCAUGAUUUGAUGAAAAAUGAUUUUAUGAGAGAGCCAAUACUAGAAUAUGUCGUUGAGUCAAGAUCACAAAAUAAAACGACUCAACAAUAAACUCAAUAAUAACUUCAUUGCAAUUCUUGAACUUGCACUGUUUCACUUGUACUUGGACUGUUAUUGUUCCAUCCUCGUUGGUUUGUCAUGGUUUGUCAUUUAUCAAAACCUACAUAAAUCAACACACGUUUAGUUUUGAGAACGUGAUUCAACACAUUCUAUAUCAAUUAAAAGCAUAGAAGGAAUCUAACUCAGUGCACAGAAAUAGCAACAGGGGGACCUCCCGGGAUAUCGUCCCACAGUCCGAAUCAUAAAGAUGCAGGAAAAACUCUCGAAACCAAUAACAGUUUAAGACAAGUAUUCUAAUAAUAGUUCAAGAUCAGUAUUCCCCCUCAAUCUGUGAUUCCCCCCUUAAUAUAUGCAAAUAUAUUAUAUUGUGCAUGCAUAGCCCGUUUUUAUGCAUAGCCCGUUUUCUUCCCCCUUUUGACAUUAACAAAAAGUGCAAGAAGAAACGUUUUAUUAAACUAAAAUUAAGGAGUACAUAAUCAAGAUACCAAAGAUAAACUGGGCAGAAAAUUAAAACAAUUAUAUAAACUGCAACAAGAAAUUUUAUUCAUCAUUGUCUUCGUCUUCCACAUUGUCCGGCGCUGCUUCAUAUGGAACAAGACCAGCAUAUGGAUAAUGAACAUGGUCAAAAUAUCCAUGCAUUUCAUAAGUCAAUUGAUUGACGGAAGUGGUUAGUGAAGCAAGCUGAUCGGAAAUAGAUUGAAGAGUAGGAGUUUGGGUACGACGAGGUGGUUGAGGACGAGGAGCAGGAGGAGCAGCAUGUUCGCCAACAAUGGGAAGGGAAGAUGAUGAAAUUUCCCAAUGUUUGGUUUCUCUUUUUAUCGGACCAUUGGUGGUGUCAAAACUGGUGGCUUGAAGAAUUUUCAUGAUAAGAAAAGCAUAAGGAAGGGGUCUAUCAUCCCCUCUGGCAUCAAGCAUAUGAAUUUUGAUGAAUUUGCACCGGUGAUAAUGGCAUGAAGAAGUUUGGCGUCCUCUUGAGAAAUAGUAGUGUGUCUAUGCUUACGGGGUUUUAGCACACGAGUUAUGAAGUAAAAAAUCAAGCGAUACUCAGGGAGCAUCCCCGUGAUAGUUGGACGACGAGUGGUAAGAUUAGGAUCAAAUGAUCCAAGCCCGAUUUGAUUUAACGGAAUUUGUUCAUCAAACAAUACGCCGUCUUCUCGAAUGUACCUGAAGAUGUUUUCCCCAUUUCGAGGAAGUUGAGAAAUCGUUUCAAGAUUUUGUAUAGAUAAGAUGAUUGGAAUACCAUUGAUGUUUAUAACAAGAUCUCCAUCUUCGUCUUCCUGAAGAUUAGAGUAGAAAGCGCGAAUAAAUGGAGGAUGAAUAUCUGUAUUUUUAAGACACAAAAAAUCAAGAAGUUUGCUUUCCCGAAGCAUAUUGGCAGUAGCUGCGGGUGCGCUUGAUUCAAGGUAUUGAGUUGUAGAGAAACGAGGAGGUUGUAUUUCUCGGUUUUCAAAUUUGUUCAUGAACCGAGCAUACUCCGCUUCGGACUCGAAUUUUAGAUAGGAACCGUCUUGAUAGGGAAAGACAGGAGUAGGAGCAGUAGAGGAGGAGGCAACAUUCUUGCCUUGGCGGGAUCGUUUUUGAUGUCUUGACAUUUUGAUAUGAAUUUUUGAGAGCUAAUUUGGAGAAUUUUUUAAGACAAUUUGAGAGAUUUUUGAAGUUUUGAAUUUGAUUUGAAGUGAUGAAAGUGAAGAGAGCAGCUUCAAUUUAUAGAGUGGUAAGUAGAUGACAUUUAAGGCAGAAAUGAAGUCUGAAAAAUGGUAAUAUUUGAAAAUCUGCCGUUGAACAAUCGAUUGUUGAGCUGUCACAAUCGAUUGUUAUGGAAUAUUUUGAACGGUAUUUUGAGCUGACAAAAAGAUAAUCGAUUGCAGAGUUUUUCAGAAGUCAGAACAGUAAAAUUUUUGAAUAAUGACCGUUUGACAAUCGAUUGCGGAGCCUAAACAAUCGAUUGUUGGAAGAAUUGAAUUAUGGUCAGAAAUUGAACAAUCGAUUAUGGCACAUUGACAAUCGAUUGUUUAUAGGCAGUGAGUAUGAGGACAUAAGAAUUUAUUGAACAAUCGAUUAUAGACAAAUAACAAUCGAUUGUUUGUACCCAGUGAGUAUUUCAUAGUCCAAUGAUUUUACGACAAUCGAUUGUAGACAAGAGACAAUCGAUUGUGAAGAGGCAAAAACUUAUAAGGUCCUGAUAAAUUAUGGAACAAUCGAUUAUGGAAGUUGGAAAAUCGAUUGUGACGAGGCAGAGAGUUAUAAGGACUUGAAUGAUUAUUGGACAAUCGAUUGUGGAAGUGUGACAAUCGAUUAUAUGGUCCAGUGAUAUUAGGACAAUCGAUUGUGGAUAUGAGACAAUCGAUUGUGAGUAGGCAAAAAGAUAUAAGUACCUAAAUGAAUAUUUUGACAAUCGAUUAUGGAAGUAUGACAAUCGAUUUUAGGACAGCAGUGCCAAACGGACAACAAAGACAGCAAAAGACAAUUGAUUUUGCAAUUUGAACACUCGAUUAUAUAUAUCAAAUCUUAUAAAACUGAAUCUAAAUACAGUCGAUUAUUGAUACGGAGAAUCGAUUAUUGUAUACUUGCCAAAACACCUGCACAACACAAGUGUCAGACACAAUCGAUUGUGGCUAGUAAACAAUUGAUUGUAUUACACCAGAAUUAAAUUCCCCCUGUCUUUGAGGAUAUCUCUGCAAAAACACAAUUAAGCGCCUACGACGCUUAAGUUAGUAUUUAUUCAAGAGAUAAAUGCAACCUAAGUGAAUGCAUUAGAUCAACGUAGAGUCAAGGAUUCCGAGUUCAUUUCGAAUACGGAAGAACAACUCUUUAUCUAAAAGGUCUGGUGAAGAUGUCAAUUAAUUGAUGUUUAGUGAUUACGAACUCAAUUUUGAUAUCACCUUUGAGAACGUGAUCUUUCAUACAAUGGUGCCUAAUUUCGAUAUACUUUGGUCUUGAAUUGAAGAAUUGGAUUCUUCGUCAAACUUAUGGUAUUAGUAUUAUCACAUCGAAUAGGAACAUGAAUAAGACUAAGACCAUAAUCCUAAAGUUGCUGUUUCAUCCAAAGGAUUUGUGUGCAACAACUUCCCGUGGCAAUAUAUUCGGCCCCGGUUGUGGACAAAGCGACACUUAACAUGUUUCUUGCUAAGUCAAGAAACUAAGGAGUUACCGAGCAAGUGGCAAGUGCCAUUUGUGCUCUUUGCGGCCUAAUUUGCAUCAAGCGAAAUUAGAGUCGGAAUAGCCAAUUAAUUGGAAUGAAGAUACUUUUGGGAUACCAAAGUCCCACAUAUAAAGAUUCAAAUGGAUAAUUCAUUUUCCGUUUAACCGCAUGACUCCUUUGGACAAGAUUUAUAUCUAACACUUCAAUACAUGCUAAAUAUUAUAUCAAGUCUACUAGCAGUAAGGUAAAGCAAGGAACGAUCAUACCCGGUAUAUCUCGGUGUCAACCUCUUUACCUAUUUCACCUUUGUCACGAUGGUUAGGUAUGCUCGUUGGAUUUGCCAUUGCUUUUGGUGUUGAUAAUUUCAAAUUGAUUCAGCAACUCCAAAACGAAAUUAAGCUUACCCUUCGUUGACAUCUUAAUUUGCUAGUAAUGAGUUUUACAAACUCCUUGCAUAUAGACACAUUAGUUGCUCCAAGAAAAAUAUCAUCAACAUAUAAACUUGUUUUUGAAGUACAGAAAUAAUGGCAUCUAUAAAAUUCUUUUUGAGAUACAACAACAUCAUUAAUACAAAUUUGAAACAUCAACAGAACUUUUUGUCAAAUCAUAGAUUCAUGUUGAAAUGCAAGAAUACCAUCAUCAAAUAAGAAUUCAUGCAGUCUAUUUCCCUUCAAUGAAAAUUUCCCAUCAAAUAAGGCAUACUAAAAGAAAGCAUUCCCCCUUAUUUGAAGCAUAUCGCCUUAACGCUUCUACUUUUGCCACAAAGAUAGAGUAUUAAGACUACUUUCCUUUAUCGAUAAAUCUCCGAGUGACACAAUACAAAUAGGAAAGACAUUGAGGAAUAUGCAUGAUGUCUUUUUCGAUAUACCUCCGAGUGACACAAUACAGAUAGGAAAGACAUUGAGGAAAAUGCAUGAUGAAUAUUGAUAAUGAUUUUCAAGGCAUACAAACUGUUUUAAACAAAACAUAUCAAUUUGACAUUUUUCAAAAUAUACCAAAUGGUGUAAAAAUAAUAAUAGACCCAUUUGUUGGAAAUGCAUCAAAUGUUAUUUUAUUAACAGUGAUACAUAUUGUUAUCUUCAGAAUAUCAAAACAAUUAUCAACCAAAAAAAAAAUCAUGGAUCAAAUAUUCCAAGGAUAUACCAAUCAUUAUUCAACCCAGAAAUAUCAUUUGUCAAAAACAUAAGUGAAAUGUUUUUAAACAAAAAUAUGCUAACAAUUAGAAAGAUUUUCUGAUAAAUAUCAACAGUUAUAAACAACGUUCCUCAAGACAAAAAUAAAAUGUUUUUACUAUGAGCAUGCUAGCAGUUAACAGUUGAAUAGAAUAAACAAUUCAAAAGUUUGUCGAAAGAUACUAAUUGUUAUUUAAGAGGCAUUUAUCAAAAGAAACAAUUGAUGCCAAUAAUAGUUAUCAAGACAUGGAUCAACCAUAGAUGAUUCUAGUAGUUGCUUAACAGCAAAUUUUCAAUACGAGAAUCAACAAAGAUAAUAGAUAUCAAUUGUCAACACGGAUAUCUCAAUUUUCAACACGAGAAUCAAUUGUCAACAUGGAUGUCUCAAUUUUCAACGCAUAUCAAUUAUUUUGAUUGAGCACAUCAACAGUAUCAAAAUGAGAGCCAAAUUAACAGCAAAUAUCUUAAUAUCAAUUAUUGGUACACAUUAGCAAUUCGGUUUUCAUCAAAAAGGAUAACUAACCGAAGUUCCCCUUGAUGCAAUAAGGUGUCGUGCUUGAUUGCAUCUACUACAAUAUUGUAGCUUUCAAGCACACCUGCAAAAAGAACCUAAGGAUAGGUUUUUGGUACCCAAACACCUUUGGGUCCUUGAGGGUUAGGCAAAUAAUGAUUAUAACCAAAAGAUAAAUCCCUCUGUUUCGCAAAACAUAUAGGUGCUAUGUUCGGUUGCAGUAGUGACACACCACAUUCGGGUUGUGCCUAUGCCUAGGUUGUGCCAAAUAUGUUUUAGGUGAUCUAAAGUCGUUCCUAGAAGCGUCGAAAUUUCUAGAGUCCUUUCUAGGUGGUCUAGUGUAGUUUAUUCGAGACUUAUCAACAAAAGUCCUAGAAUUGCUCCUAGGUGGUCUAAAGUGGUUAAUUCUAGACUUGAAGAACCUAGUAUCGUUUCCAGGUGGUCUAGUCUCAUUCCUGGGAUUAUUUCUAUGUUGCCUAAAAUUAUUAAUUCUAGGCUUAUUCGUAUAAUUCCUAGAAUCGUUUCUAGGUGGUCUAAAAUUAUUAGUUCUAGACUCAUUGAAAACCCUAGAAUUAUUUCUUGGUGGUGCAGUAAAAUUUCUAACGUGAUUCUUGUUUUUCUUACGCCUUUUGUUUUUCUUGGGCUUUUUCUUAACCUCUUCAACUACCUUAGGAAUGUCAACACUACGUGAUUCUAAUGUGCUCCUAAGUUCUGCGUUUUCUAAUUGCAAGGGUUCACAAGAUAAGCAUUUAGAACAUUGACCAAUAGAAGAAGCUUCGUUCAUUGCCUUAAUCUUAUCUCUGAGAUCAACAAUGUCAUUUUUCAAAAACUGAUUUUCUUCUUCAAGCUUCUCGUUAUCACGAGUCAAUAUUUCAAAAUCUUUUUCUUUUGAAGAAAGUUGUUUUUCAAAAUCCUUUUCUUUCAACAAAAGUUGUUCUUCAAAAUCCUUUUCUUUUAAAGAGGCAUUUUUCCUUGCGUCUCUGAUAAUCCCGGAAGCUUUAACAAAUUCACUAUAUAGUUCUUCAUAUGCAUUUUGUAAUUCUUCAAACGAGUGAGAGUUAGAAGUACUUNNNNNNNNNNNNNNNNNNNNNNNNNNNNNNNNNNNNNNNNNNNNNNNNNNNNNNNNNNNNNNAAGUACUUACCUCUUCUUCUUCGUCGGCCAUGAAGCAUCGGGCAGUCGGUUCAUCACAUGGACUGUCCACUUUUUGAGGCAUAUUUUCAUACGUGUCCUCAAGCUUAUCCCACAUUUCUUUGGCAGUUUUGCAGUGGGAACUUUUUCGACAAUUUUCCUGAUUCAAAGAACUACACAACAUAUUUAUUGCCUUGGUAUUAUAUUCACUUACCAUGGCUUGCCCAACUUAUGCCGUCAUUUGCUCACCAUACUUGAUGAUUUGCCAUAGACGAAAGUUGUUUGACUGGAUGAAAUUCUCAUCCUAUUCUUCCAAUAUCUGUAGUUGCUCCCGUCAAAUAUUGGAGGUAAGAAGGUGCAAAAUCCUUCACCUGUUCCUGCAAAAGCACUACUAAUAGAAGCCAUAGAACGAUUCUCUCAAACUGUUAAGUUUUACAGAGAGUUAGGCUCUGAUACCAAUUGUUAGAACUAGUGCUUAACGCUAGAGGGGGGGGGGUGAAUAGCGUUUAUAAAAAUUAUGCGGAAUUAAAAAACAAGUUGCUGAAUUGAAAACUGCAGGAAUUAAAUAAGUGCGGAAAUUAAAUGAGAAAGGAAAGAACACACCGAUGUAUACUGGUUCACCACACCUUGUGGUUAGUCCAGUCCCCGAGAGACUCUCUCGAGACUUCCACUAACUUUGUCAAGCUUACGGGUGCUCAACAAACCGUUACAACCUGAGAGCUUGAGUCACACAAGCCUCAGCAAACCGUUAAGUUUACGGGUACCUAACAAACCGUGGAUACCACACCUUAAGACUUCACUUGCUCGAGGCUACCUCACCCCAAGACUUCACUGUUAAGCUUCUGGGUGCCUAACAAACCGUUACAACUUGAGAACUUGAAUCCCACAAGUCUCAAACAACCUUGCUCGAGGAUACCUCACCCCCAAGACUUCACUGUUAAGCUUACGGGUGCCUAACCAACCGUUAAAACCUGAGAACUUGAAUCACACAAGCCUCAGACAAUCUUGCUCGGGGGUACCUCACCCCAAGACUUCUCAAGAAGAAAUACAAUAUUCCCUCUUGCAACAAGUGUAUAAAAUCACUUACUACUCACUUAAACAAUACUCUCUAAACAGAGUGGAUAUGAGUACAAAUAAUCAGCUCAAGAACACAACAACUUAAUCAAGAUUGGCUCUCAAAAAUAAUGAACUUAGAAUGAAAUAAUAUGCAAUUGAAGUGUGUGAACUUUUACAGAUUUUGGCUAAGUUGUGUUAUUUAAAAACGUAUUUCAGAUGGGUAUUUAUAGCAUUGAAAGAGUAUUAGACCGUCGCCUAAUUGUCAAACAAAAUCCCUGAAAUUGUGCUAUGACAAUCGAUUGUCAAGCCCUCACAAUCGAUUGUUGGACCAAUAUUUCAAAAGACAAAUCUUAACUUUAAGAGAAAAUCGAUUGUUUGAAAUUUGUUUAGAAAUCUGAAAGUCAACAAUCGAUUGUUGUAUGACCACAAUCGAUUGUGGUUCAUAUUUUCAAAGUAUUUCGGUCAAGCAUUUGAAUUUAACAGAUUUGUGUAAUCAAAAUUUCAACAACUAAAUCCCUGAUAAAAAGGAGUGAUUGACUGAAGAAAAUUUGGUUUAGAAUUUUGAAAUUAACGGAUUUGUAAAUAAUUUUCAACCACCAAAUCUUGACUUUAAGAACAGAAAUAAUUGUGAAAGAUUUUGGGAUUUUGUAACUUCAACAAUCGAUUGUUGCAUGAUGACAAUCGAUUGUCAUUUAAAUUUUCAAAGCAUUUUUAGCAACAGUAAGAAUACAAUCGAUUGUUAGACUAUGACAAUCGAUUGUUAUGUUUUUAUAAAAACUUUGAUAACACACUGCCUCAGGACAAUCGAUUGUUUAUCCAUGACAAUCGAUUGUUUUGCUUCUUUGAAAAAUUCAUUUAAGCAUUGUCUCAUGACAAUCGAUUGUUUACCUCAGACAAUCGAUUGUUGGCCAAUUUGAAAUCAUAUAAUCGAUUGUUUUAUAAAUAUUGAAAGUUCCAGUUUAGGCAGUCUUUAUGACAAUCGAUUGUUGGUCAUUGACAAUCGAUUGUUGUAGUCCAAAAUUAAAAGACAUGUUUGAAAAACAUUUUGGCUAAAAUGCAACUCAUUUGUUUUAACUUAAAGAUGCAUGAUUUGAUGAAAAAUGAUUUUAUGAGAGAGCCAAUACUAGAAUAUGUCGUUGAGUCAAGAUCACAAAAUAAAACGACUCAACAAUAAACUCAAUAAUAACUUCAUUGCAAUUCUUGAACUUGCACUGUUUCACUUGUACUUGGACUGUUAUUGUUCCAUCCUCGUUGGUUUGUCAUGGUUUGUCAUUUAUCAAAACCUACAUAAAUCAACACACGUUUAGUUUUGAGAACGUGAUUCAACACAUUCUAUAUCAAUUAAAAGCAUAGAAGGAAUCUAACUCAGUGCACAGAAAUAGCAACAGGGGGACCUCCCGGGAUAUCGUCCCACAGUCCGAAUAAUAAAGAUGCAGGAAAAAUCACAUAAGCCUCGCGGGCAACAGUAAAGUAUGAUGCUCAGCCAAAAAUAUUAUUUGAAAUAUCAUUUCAAGUGUUAAAAUCAAAGUAAACAUGGCUGAGUUUUGAAAACAGUGGAAAAAUAACAUGACUGAAUUCAACUUAGGAGUCAAACCAAUGAGGAAAUAUCAAUAACAAGCCCUGAAGGGUUCACAUAGUUGGAACUAGGCCCAAAUAUGGCAUUCAUCCCAAUUAAUGAUGAUAUCAAACAGUUUCCAAUAAAAUACGCGGUAAAAUCAUCAAUCGGGAUGGACCAAGUCACAAUCCCCUAUAGUGAACGACCUCACGCUCGUCAUCGAGCGUGUGUCUCACCUCAAUUUAGCACUACGAUGUGUAAUCCGGGGUUUCAAACCCUCAGAACAUCAUUUACAAUUAUUAUUCACCUCGAUCCAAUCCAAACUCUAGUCCGCGAAGCCUCGCCCACAUGAAUCGACCUCCGGAUGGUCCAAAUCUAUCCACAAUCAGUAAUCCAAUCCAAACUCUAGUCCGUGAUGCCUCGCCCACAUGAAUCGACCUCCGGAUGGUCCAAAUCUAUCCACAAUCAGUACGUAGUCAUUAAAAUAUGCUACGGGAGCGAAGCCUGCUCGAAAAUAUCCAAUUUAACAUUAAAAUUUUCCGAAAUUUCUCAAACCCGACCCUUGAGCCAACGUCUCAAAAUCCGACAAAAUGAACAUCAAUGGAAUUCUCAUCCUCGCACGAGUUCAUACAUAUCAAUUUACUAAAAUCCGACCUCAUAUGGUCAUUCAAAUUCUAAAAAUUCACUCUUCAAUUUCAAGCCCUAAAUUCCAAACUUUUCCUCCAGUUUCCCACAAAUUUUCAUGAGUAAACAAUGAUAUAAUCACCAUAAAUACAAGGUAUAUGACCCAGGUAGCUUACCUCUAUGGACACACUUGAUCCCCCUUUAAAAUCACAUCUUGGAGCAACAAAAUCGCACAAAAAUGGUGAACAAAUGGCUAAAAACAACGAAGGGGCAUUUUUAUACCUUCUUCCCAGCUCUGUCGCACCUGCGAUCCUAUAAGCACAUAUGCGCUUCCGCUUCUGUGGAUUUCACUUAUGACACCAGAACCCCCAUAUGCGGUCAAACCACGCACCUGCGGUACGGCAUUUGCGGUCUCAUGUCCCAUUUUGCGAAAUUCACUUACCUAGCCUACAUCACAUAUGUGACCAAUCUUCUACAUCUGCGACAUCGUGGAUGUGGUCACCAUAUCACUUCAGUGGUCUCUUCUCAUUUGGACCUUUUUCGCUUCUGCGAUAGAUCACCCGCAUCUGCGGCGCCGCACCUGCGGCGCCGCACCUGCGGUCCCAAAUCUGCAGGUGGGAAAAUACGAGAAGCGACAAUAUCAGCUGCUGCAACAAAAUUCCAAUCUCUCCGUUAACCAUCUGAAAUCGUCCCGAGGCCCCCGGAACCUCAACCAAAAACACAAACACAACCAAACACCUUAUACAAACUUGUUCCAAUCAUCAAAACACUUCAAACAACAUCAAAACAAUCAAAAUACCUCGGAUUCAAGCCUAAGUUUUUAAAAUCUUUCAAAUUUCGCUUUGGAUAAAAAAACUCAACCAUACCAUGUCCGAAUGACCUGAAAUUUUGCACACACAUCCCACAUGAAACGACGGAACUACUGAAACUUUCGAAGUUCUAUUCCGACCUCAAUAGAAAAAUCUCACCUAUCAACCGGAAAAUGCCGAAAUCUCAAUUUCGCUAAUUCAAGCCUAAACCUUCCACGAACUUCCAAAAGGCAUUCAGAUCGCGCUCGUAAGACCCAAAUCAGCUAACGGAGCUAACCAAAUCAUAAGAAUAUCGAUCCGAGAUCAUAUAUAAACAAGUUAAAUCUUGGUCAACCCCUCUUUUGAGAACCGUUUCUUCCAAAUUCACUCUGAUUACCCUGAAAACAAAAACCAAUGAUUUAUAUAAGUCAUAAUACAUCAAGUGCGGCAAGUCAUGUCCGAGAACUGGCAAGCAAAGUGCAAAAACUCAAAAUGACCGAUUGAAUCGUUACAAAUAAUUCAACUUCCAAAUAAUAUUUUCCAACAUAACUUCAAAACUCUUUUUUCAAGUUUUAAUUACAUAUAUCUUCCACUGUAUUCAUUUAUGCUUGUGUUUUAUCAAGCAUUUUCAUAAGUGAAUUUCAUACUAAUCUUCAUGCAAACACUUGUACUUUAGAAGAUAUAUUAUUCCUAAAUACAACAUGUGAUACGAGAUCAUUAAAUUGUAAGUGUACCUUGUAAUUGAUUAAUUUUGGACUUCACGAAAAAUAAUUAAGGAAGUAAUGAUAUGAAGUAAAUAAAUAAGUAAAGUGAAAAAAUUAAACUUGACUCAAGACAUAUUAUGGGAAACACGUUUCUUUCACGAUCCAUCUUAUCCUUUCAUCGAUGGAAGCUAGCAAUAACAUUAUUCUCAUAUUGGCGGAAUUACGGUUGUUUGUCUUCUUAUAUGAUCAUAGACUCUCAAGAUAAUUCAUAUUUCAAGACUAGCUAUUUUUUAGAGCUGAAUUAAGUUUAAAAUUCAUUUAUUCAUCCGAGAGUCGGUGGUGUUAAGCAGGGGCUGAGUAAAAGCAUUAGUUGUGGGUUCGAAGGAACUCAGCUUAAACUUUAUAUUUAUAUUAUAAAAAAUACAUAAAAUAUGUAUAAAUAAUUAAUUAAGACUCAAUAACUAAGAUAAACUUGAGUUCACGAUUAACUGAGAGUUUAUAAAUUCUAAUCCUAGCUCCGUAUUUGAUGCUAAGAUGCCCCACAUUUAUUGAGGGAUAGGUUGUUAUAUGGUCUUGAGAAUAGUUGGAGUCACUCGGCCAUCAAUUAUCUACGUCAAGAGUUGAGUCACUAGACCACCAAUUAAUUAUCUACUUCUAGAGUUGGAGUCACUUGGCCCAUUGUUUCCCAUUAAAACAAUUUGCCCCAAGUUAAUAAUCCAAAUUGAUACUAUUUGUCAAGUGGCCAUGUAGCAACCUUGUUUUUGUUUUUUCUUGGAACAUUCCUAGGAAAUACUUAACCUCUACUUUCCGAGUACACAUCGGAUAAUUUGCUUAAUGUAUAUUAGAUCACAAAUAACACAGAAGAUAUAAAUCGCAUUAGACACGUUUGAUGCGACGAGUUUUGACUGAGAAGACUGCUGGGAAGGGGAAUCGAUCUGAUCUUCCAUGUGAAAAACCACUCAUCCGACCAACUCGGUCAACCUCGGCGGGCGUGACUUCAAAGUAAGUCUUUUGUGAAGUCUUUCUGUGAAUUUAAAAUGAGUGGUUCUGAACGUUACUAAGUUCUAUACUAAUACUCCAACUAGCUGAUGCAAGGGAGAUGUCUAAGGCGGCUGCUCCAAUUACCCAAGGUUUAUUUACAUCUUCACUCUAUUACAAGUAGUUAUUUUCAUUUUUAACAUUUUGAGUCUGCAAAUGGAUAUUAUAAAUGUUUAAAUAUUCAUGUAACAUUUUACUUUGAAUUUUGUAAUCCUAAAUGUGUCAUAAUAUCUUAUACAAAAGUCUCAUUAAUAAAAAAAAUUAGAAUUUCGUCAUUAAAAAUUAUUAAUUGUUGUGAGGUUUUUUCACUUUGUAUACUACCAGGGUACUUUUUUAGAUAAUAACGUUAAAAAUUUAAUGAAAUACAUAUACAAAUUAUAGUACUUGAUUAAAUAUAAAAUUAAAAAGAAGAAAAAAUUAUGGUUCUUAAAUAAGUAUAUAUAUUUGUGAGGUUAUAAAUUAUAUUCUAUUUGGUCUACUUUUAUUGGACUUUUGACCCUUUUAAUUGUAUUCUAUAAUAUUUAAUUUUUUCAAAUAUCGGGAAUUAGCUCUUUUUUCUAAAGUUGCCUUUAGAGUUAAGAGCCCGAAAGUAUUUGUUAUAUUUUUAAUAAACAAAUUAAAAUUAAUUAUUUUGGGAGUCGAACAAAGUUUUGUUUAACUCUGUUUUUCUCAAAUAAUUUUUAAAUAUUUAAUUGAUAACUACUAUAACUUAUGAUAUUUUUUAUGUAAUUUUUAAAUUUAUCAGUUUUAUUUAUAAAAAAACUUAAAGAACCUAUGAAUUCACAUAAAAACUUUGUCAAUUUAACUCUCGUACUCCAAAGAGAUUCAAACAAAUUAAAACAAAUGGAAUACUUGCCGGCAACGGAACUGAAAAUUAUUGACAUAAAUUUCCCUUUUUAGGUUAACCUAUUGCUAAUACAUCAUAACCUUUUUGUAGGAAUGGAUUCAAACAACAUUAGUGAUCAAGCGGGUUAUGCUCGGGUUUUACGUUGUUUGGCUUGCAGAUGUUGUGUCGGUUAAAUUUUAUAUAUUUUUUACGAUCAAAUAUUAUACAAUGUUUUUGUAUGUGCUAAAAGUAAUAAUACUCCAAAAUAAGGCACAACAUUGUGGUAGUAUUAGUUUGUGUUGUUAUACAUGUCUUGUCCGGUUGUCUUUCAACUUUGUGGUACUGUAAUUUUAAUUCUGGUCAAUAAAUAGUACUACUAAUUAGUGUUUAUGGUUACAAAUUCAGAAUUCAUGUUUGGCCUUUUAUGAUCGAACUAGACGGACUGUUUGGUCUUCAAAUGAGAAGUUUUAUUUUGUGUCUCAUACAACUUACGCAUGAGGUUCUUUUUUAUUUCACAAAAUUAUGGAUCAUAAUCGUACACUUCUGAAUUCAUAGAAUUUGGGAUGCACAAAACUAUGAGAUAAAAAAUUGUCUUAUAUAACUAAUAUAAGUUGUAUGAGACACAACAUAAAAUUUUCCGUCUUCAAAUCAAAAUACCAAAAUAAGGACUAUAUGAGAGUACAUAUGAUGUCUUCCAAGUUAUAAAAAUUGUAGGAACAUUAAAAAAAAUCUAGUGAAGAUAUUGUCACGAUCCAAGCUUUCCCUUCGUAAACUGUCGUAACGACAUCCACUCUUUACCAUUAGGUAAGCCUAACAAUCACGGAAAAAAAUAAAAUGCGAAAAAACUAAUAAAAAUUGAAGAUAAACAAUAUAAAGGCGUCUCGACAUAUACUAAUACAAGAUCUUGAAAACUAAAUAACUUUCCAAAUUCAUAAUAUCAUGAAAUCACAAGCUAAUGAUACUACAUAGUGCUCUAACUCUAGAAUGUCUAAAACAAAGCAAAUAAAUAAGGGAUGUAACUACAAGAGAGAAUGGAGA
RNAcentral lists this long non-coding RNA (16253 nucleotides) under Nicotiana benthamiana. RNAcentral describes it as "long non-coding RNA (NBEN_LNC010975)". The record is from RNAcentral. Lineage: Eukaryota; Viridiplantae; Streptophyta; Magnoliopsida; Solanales; Solanaceae.